This 468-nucleotide ribosomal RNA is filed under the name uncultured bacterium. RNAcentral's name for it is "partial 16S ribosomal RNA". It matches the Rfam family "Bacterial small subunit ribosomal RNA", at positions 28 to 507 of the family's 1533-position model. The record is from RNAcentral.
GACGAACGCUGGCGGCGUGCUUAACACAUGCAAGUCGAACGGAAAGGCCCUGCUUUUGUGGGGUGCUCGAGUGGCGAACGGGUGAGUAACACGUGAGUAACCUGCCCUUGACUUUGGGAUAACUUCAGGAAACUGGGGCUAAUACCGGCUAGGAGCUCCUGCUGCAUGGUGGGGGUUGGAAAGUUUCGGCGGUUGGGGAUGGACUCGCGGCUUAUCAGCUUGUUGGUGGGGGAGUGGCUUACCAAGGCUUUGACGGGUAGCCGGCCUGAGCGGGUGACCGGCGACAUUGGGACUGAGAGACGGCCCAGACUCCUACGGGAGGCAGAAGUGGGGAAUAUUGCACAAUGGGCGGAAGCCUGAUGCAGCAACGCCGCGUGCGGGAUGACGGCCUUCGGGUUGUAAACCGCUUUCGCCUGUGACGAAGCGUGAGUGACGGUAAUGGGUAAAGAAGCACCGGCUAACUACGUG